RNAcentral lists this ribosomal RNA (253 nucleotides) under uncultured bacterium. RNAcentral's name for it is "partial 16S ribosomal RNA". It matches the Rfam family "Bacterial small subunit ribosomal RNA", at positions 524 to 776 of the family's 1533-position model. The record is from RNAcentral.
UACGUAGGGGGCAAGCGUUGUCCGGAUUUACUGGGCGUAAAGCGCGCGUAGGCGGAGGGGUAACUCCGGUGUGAAAGCCCACGGCUCAACCGUGGAAGGACGCUGGAAAGUGCCCCCCUUGAGGGCGACAGAGGGAAGUGGAAUUGCUGGUGUAGCGGUGAAAUGCGUAGAUAUCAGCAGGAACACCCGUGGCGAAGGCGGCUUCCUGGGUCGCAACUGACGCUGAGGCGCGAAAGCGUGGGGAGCGAACGGG